GAUGAACGCUGGCGGCGUGCCUAAUACAUGCAAGUCGAGCGAACAGACGAGGAGCUUGCUCCUCUGAUGUUAGCGGCGGACGGGUGAGUAACACGUGGAUAACCUACCUAUAAGACUGGGAUAACUUCGGGAAACCGGAGCUAAUACCGGAUAACAUGUUGAACCGCAUGGUUCAACAGUGAAAGACGGUCUUGCUGUCACUUAUAGAUGGAUCCGCGCCGCAUUAGCUAGUUGGUAAGGUAACGGCUUACCAAGGCAACGAUGCGUAGCCGACCUGAGAGGGUGAUCAGCCACACUGGAACUGAGACACGGUCCAGACUCCUACGGGAGGCAGCAGUAGGGAAUCUUGCGCAAUGGGCGAAAGCCUGACGGAGCAACGCCGCGUGAGUGAAGAAGGUCUUCGGAUCGUAAAACUCUGUUAUUAGGGAAGAACAAAUGUGUAAGUAACUAUGCACGUCUUGACGGUACCUAAUCAGAAAGCCACGGCUAACUACGUG
RNAcentral lists this ribosomal RNA (497 nucleotides) under uncultured bacterium. Its description in RNAcentral is "partial 16S ribosomal RNA". It matches the Rfam family "Bacterial small subunit ribosomal RNA", at positions 28 to 507 of the family's 1533-position model. The record is from RNAcentral.